AGGGAGGCAGCAUGAUUCUCAGCUUUUAGAUAGACCCAUAAAGUUGUCCAAAUUUCAACGAGUAUUGCCUGAUCAGAUUUGAUUGAACGAUCUCGGGGAGCACUUGCUAAUGUACUCAUGAACGCAGGCUUCACUGGGGCUCCAGAUUUCAGCCAUAUUUCAGUACCAAGAACAGCUCCCUCGCAGACUGAACGUAAAAUUGACCUGAAGAUUCACGCCUAUGUGUCUCUUUAAGGUGGGUUAAUGUUGACGUAAGCGAAAUCUAAAAUGCAAAGGUCCACACGAAAGGAAUCUCGGCCAGUAGCGCCGAUUCUCCAUGCAGCCUCUGAUAUGGGGCGGUGGCGAUGUUGACACAGCGGCAAAAUUCAAUCACAACGGGUUCGGAAUCAAGCGGACAACUUAUUUAUCCAAUAAAUCCGCCAUUUAGUAAGAAAAAUAUUUGAGCAGCUGUAUUUGACCUCUGGUCACAUUUACUG
This is a long non-coding RNA of Paramormyrops kingsleyae, 476 nucleotides long. RefSeq lists it as uncharacterized. The record is from RefSeq and is a predicted model, not a curated record. NCBI's taxonomy places the organism in Eukaryota, Metazoa, Chordata, Actinopteri, Osteoglossiformes, Mormyridae.